Molecule: ribosomal RNA, 484 nt
Filed under: uncultured bacterium
Lineage: Bacteria
Description: partial 16S ribosomal RNA
Rfam family: Bacterial small subunit ribosomal RNA
Source: RNAcentral
AUUGAACGCUGGCGGCAUGCUUUACACAUGCAAGUCGAACGGCAGCGCGGGCUUCGGCCUGGCGGCGAGUGGCGAACGGGUGAGUAAUGCAUCGGAACGUGCCCAGUAGUGGGGGAUAGCCCGGCGAAAGCCGGAUUAAUACCGCAUACGACCUGAGGGUGAAAGCGGGGGACCGAAAGGCCUCGCGCUAUUGGAGCGGCCGAUGUCGGAUUAGCUAGUUGGUGGGGUAAAGGCUUACCAAGGCGACGAUCCGUAGCUGGUCUGAGAGGACGACCAGCCAAACUGGGACUGAGACACGGCCCAGACUCCUACGGGAGGCAGCAGUGGGGAAUUUUGGACAAAGGGGGCAACCCUGAUCCAGCCAUGCCGCGUGCGGGAAGAAGGCCUUCGGGUUGUAAACCGCUUUUGUUCGGGAAGAAAUCCUCUGGGCUAAUACCCCGGGGGGAUGACGGUACCGGAAGAAUAAGCACCGGCUAACUACGUG